GAUGAAGAACGUAGCGAAAUGCGAUAAGUAAUGUGAAUUGCAGAAUUCAGUGAAUCAUCGAAUCUUUGAACGCAUCUUGCGCUCCUUGGUAUUCUGAGGAGCAUGCCUGUUUGAGUGUCAUUAAAUUCUCAACUACACUGACUUUGAAUUGGUGUGGCUUGGAUUUGGGGGGAAAAUUGUUGUGGGCUUUUUGUAUAGUCUGCUCCCCUGAAAUUGAUUAGCGGUACCUUUGUGGAACUGUCUACAGGUGUGAUAAUUAUCUACAUCUUAGACAUCUGCUGGAAUGCUGCUUUCUAAACCUUAAUUGUAUUGACAAUCUUGACCUCAAAUCAGGUAGGACUACCCGCUGAACUUAAGCAUAUCAAUAAGCGGAGGA
Molecule: unclassified non-coding RNA, 376 nt
Filed under: soil metagenome
Description: partial contains 5.8S ribosomal RNA, internal transcribed spacer 2, and large subunit ribosomal RNA
Rfam family: 5.8S ribosomal RNA (bases 1-120)
Source: RNAcentral